UACGAACUGUGCGAACGUUAUUCGGAAUCACUGGGCUUACAGGGUGCGUAGGCGGCCUUUCAAGUCAGGUGUGAAAUCCCCCAGCUCAACUGGGGAACUGCGCUUGAAACUGGAGGGCUGGAGGCAACUAGAGGUGCAUGGAACUUCCGGUGGAGCGGUGAAAUGUGUUGAUAUCGGAAGGAACACCAGAGGCGAAAGCGAUGCACUGGGGUUGUUCUGACGCUGAGGCACGAAAGCCAGGGGAGCGAAC
RNAcentral lists this ribosomal RNA (250 nucleotides) under uncultured bacterium. Its description in RNAcentral is "partial 16S ribosomal RNA". It matches the Rfam family "Bacterial small subunit ribosomal RNA", at positions 524 to 773 of the family's 1533-position model. The record is from RNAcentral.